This 468-nucleotide ribosomal RNA is filed under the name uncultured bacterium. Its description in RNAcentral is "partial 16S ribosomal RNA". It matches the Rfam family "Bacterial small subunit ribosomal RNA", at positions 28 to 507 of the family's 1533-position model. The record is from RNAcentral.
GACGAACGCUGGCGGCGUGCUUAACACAUGCAAGUCGAACGGAAAGGUCCUGCUUUUGUGGCGUGCACGAGUGGCGAACGGGUGAGUAACAAGUGAGUAACCUGCCCUUGACUUUGGGAUAACUUCAGGAAACUGGGGCUAAUACCGGAUAGGAGCUCCUGCUGCAUGGUGGGGGUUGGAAAGUUUCGGCGGUUGGGGAUGGACUCGCGGCUUAUCAGCUUGUUGGUGGGGUAGUGGCUUACCAAGGCUUUGACGGGUAGCCGGCCUGAGAGGGUGACCGGGCACAUUAGGACUGAGAUACGGCGCAGACUCCUACGGGAGGCAGCAGGGGGGAGUAUUGCACAAUGGGCGGAAGCCUGAGGCAGCAGCGCCGCGUGCGGGAUGACGGCCUUCGAGUUGUAAACCGCUUUCGCCUGUGACGAAGCGUGAGUGACGGUAAUGGGUAAAGAAGCAACGGCUAACUACGUG